GAUGAACGCUGGCGGCGUGCCUAAUACAUGCAAGUCGAGCGAACAGAUGAGGAGCUUGCUCCUCUGACGUUAGCGGCGGACGGGUGAGUAACACGUGGAUAACCUACCUAUAAGACUGGGAUAACUUCGGGAAACCGGAGCUAAUACCGGAUAAUAUAUUGAACCGCAUGGUUCAAUAGUGAAAGACGGUUUUGCUGUCACUUAUAGAUGGAUCCGCGCCGCAUUAGCUAGUUGGUAAGGUAACGGCUUACCAAGUAACGAUGCGUAGCCGACCUGAGAGGGUGAUCGGCCACACUGGAACUGAGACACGGUCCAGACUCCUACGGGAGGCAGCAGUAGGGAAUCUUCCGCAAUGGGCGAAAGCCUGACGGAGCAACGCCGCGUGAGUGAUGAAGGUCUUCGGAUCGUAAAACUCUGUUAUUAGGGAAGAACAAAUGUGUAAGUAACUAUGCACGUCUUGACGGUACCUAAUCAGAAAGCCACGGCUAACUACGUG
This 496-nucleotide ribosomal RNA is filed under the name uncultured bacterium. Its description in RNAcentral is "partial 16S ribosomal RNA". It matches the Rfam family "Bacterial small subunit ribosomal RNA", at positions 28 to 507 of the family's 1533-position model. The record is from RNAcentral.